UGGGGAAUUGUUCGCAAUGGGCGCAAGCCUGACGACGCAACGCCGCGUGGGGGAUGAAGGUCUUCGGAUUGUAAACCCCUGUUGGGUGGGACGAACACUUCCGUGGUGAACAGCCAUGGAGACUGACGGUACCACCUGAGGAAGCCCCGGCUAACUCUGUGCCAGCAGCCGCGGUAAUACAGAGGGGGCAAGCGUUGUUCGGAAUUACUGGGCGUAAAGGGCGCGUAGGCGGCCUGUUAAGUCAGACGUGAAAUCCCUCGGCUCAACCGGGGAACUGCGUCUGAUACUGGCGGGCUUGAAUUCGGGAGAGGGAUGUGGAAUUCCAGGUGUAGCGGUGAAAUGCGUAGAUAUCUGGAGGAACACCGGUGGCGAAGGCGGCAUCCUGGACCGACAUUGACGCUGAGGCGCGAAAGCCAGGGGAGCAAACG
This 428-nucleotide ribosomal RNA is filed under the name uncultured Luteitalea sp. RNAcentral's name for it is "bacterial SSU rRNA". It matches the Rfam family "Bacterial small subunit ribosomal RNA", at positions 355 to 774 of the family's 1533-position model. The record is from RNAcentral. Lineage: Bacteria; Pseudomonadati; Acidobacteriota; Vicinamibacteria; Vicinamibacterales; Vicinamibacteraceae.